GUCGUCUUAUUGGCCAUAAUGCACGCGAAUGCAUUACAAGAAUUGUAUGCAUGCUCCUUAUUAACAUAAUAUUACGGACGUACUUAUACAGGCAUUUUCCUUUUGAAAACUAUCACCAGUUGUGUUUAUACCUAGUAGUUUAUUACAUACAUAGACAAUAUAUACUGUCAUCUCAUGAAUGUACAUAAUUCAACUAGAGGCUCUCAAGAGCCUGUG
This 216-nucleotide long non-coding RNA is filed under the name Mytilus galloprovincialis (Mediterranean mussel). The record is from RNAcentral. Lineage: Eukaryota; Metazoa; Mollusca; Bivalvia; Mytilida; Mytilidae.